GAACUUAGCAGAGAUGCUUUGGUGCCUUUCGGGAACUCUGAGACAGGUGCUGCAUGGCUGUCGUCAGCUCGUGUUGUGAAAUGUUGGGUUAAGUCCCGCAACGAGCGCAACCCUUAUCCUUUGUUGCCAGCGGCUCGGCCGGGAACUCAAAGGAGACUGCCGGUGAUAAACCGGAGGAAGGUGGGGAUGACGUCAAGUCAUCAUGGCCCUUACGGCCAGGGCUACACACGUGCUACAAUGGCGCAUACAAAGAGAAGCGACCUCGCGAGAGCAAGCGGACCUCAUAAAGUGCGUCGUAGUCCGGAUUGGAGUCUGCAACUCGACUCCAUGAAGUCGGAAUCGCUAGUAAUCGUAGAUCAGAAUGCUACGGUGAAUACGUUCCCGGGCCUUGUACACACCGCCCGUCACACCAUGGGAGUGGGUUGCAAAAGAAGUAGGUAGCUUAACCUUCGGGAGGGCGCUUACCACUUUGUGAUUCAUGACUGGGGUGAAGUCGUAACAAGGUAGGCGUAGCGAG
RNAcentral lists this ribosomal RNA (517 nucleotides) under uncultured bacterium. RNAcentral's name for it is "bacterial SSU rRNA". It matches the Rfam family "Bacterial small subunit ribosomal RNA", at positions 993 to 1509 of the family's 1533-position model. The record is from RNAcentral.